CGCUCCUAGGGGUGGAGAUGGGGGUUACUGGGGACCCCUGGCUUCCUCCAUGGCCCAGCCACGUCCCCACCCGGUCCAGGGGCCCAGCUCUCGCUAUUGGGAGCAGCUGUUGACCCCUGUAUGGGGCCCAGCCCUGGGGGUGCCUCAGUACUAGGUGCAAAUCUGCUUUUCUAAGGUGGGGCCUGUGGAGUCUCCACCAGCUCUGCACAGAGGAAAAAGUCACAGCCAGGCACGAAGAGUGAGGCUGAGGAGCCAGACACUGCUGGGGCGUGAAGUGAGGCUAACACAGGCCAGGGCGGCCAGACCCCGCCGUUUCCCCCAGAAGAACCAGACAUCUGGUUUGCAUGAGAAACCUCCCCAGUGCCGACAUGUUCCCAAACAAGCCCAGGAAGAGGAGGAAAAGGAUGUGGGCACUGCCCGGUGUGGGCCACCACUGGCUCCUGCAGGCCGGCUGCCCCCACCCCCUGCCGGGGCCCAGGGGCCAGAAGACACGCCCACCUGGAACACCUUGUUCUGCAGCUUGAUCUUCCGGUACUUCUCCUCCUCGGGGUGCAGGUGGAUGUUGUCCAGGUACCUGGGGUAGGUGGAGAGGGUGAGGGGGGCACAGCCCAGGCUGCCCGCCCGGUCCCUCUGUGCCUCCUGCCCCAGGUCAGUGGCUCAGCCACACUUGGCCUCUAGUCAGAGGGAAGAAGCGGCCCAGUGACUCCAGGGCAGGAGACCGUCUCCAGGUGGAAGGCAUACCUCGCACACCCCACGGAGCCCACCCCUGGUGCCAGCAGGAGCCCCAUGGGACCCCUCACUGUCCCACCAGCCCCGGAAGGGCACCAGUGAACCACAGCGGUGGGGGAGCCACAGGGCAGGAAGAGUGGAGAGCCAGAGCCGGGGGGCCGCAGCGCCAGCAGGGGGCUCCUGUGGGGGGCUCCCUCGGGGCUGGCGGGCAGCGUGGACUUCCAGGCCUGUCCCCAAUCCUGAGACUCGGGGAGUGGGGUGGGACCCUGCCUCCUCCACACGUUCCCCGAGUGGUCCCCAAGGAAGCCAGGGUGGGCAACCCCUGAUUCCGUAAACACCUUCAUUUCACACAUGGGUAAACAGACCCAAAGAGGCCCAGUCCUUUGCCCGAGGCCUCUGGGUGGAGCUGCCUCACUCUCAGCCUGUGCUCCCUUCCUAGCCCACCUCAGCAGGUCAUGAGGGCACCAGAGAGGGUGACAGCCCCAGUGGGAAGGGUGCUGGGGCGAGCCGGAGGGGCCAGGCAGGGCAAAGGGGCCACGCACUCACUUGGCAAUGGUGUCCACGCCCAGCUUCACCCGGUCCCGGUCUUUGUUGAACGUGUGGAUCUUCAUGAUGGAGGCAGCCACUGGGUCGGUGGAGAAGUGCUGGGAGGAGGGAAACAGGGAAAGCUGCUCACUGAGAACCCGGGCCGCACGGCCCUCCGCUGCCCAGGUAACAGGGACAGGAAGAGGAAGGCAGAGCAGCGGCGUGGAGCAGCCCUAGCUGUGCACUCAUCACAGAAAGGAAAAGAGAGACCCUCGAAGACCCCGGCCCUGCCCACACGCCAGGGCAGAGGCGACACAGCCAAGACGGACCAGAACUCAGGUCUGCCCUUCCGCCUUCUCAAGGCUAGACCCACGGGACUUGGGGGCCGGUGUGACGUGACAGAACUUUGCCUCGCACUCUGGCUUUAGAACUCGACCUCAGUGCUGAGAUCCACCAAGGCCGCUGCCCCUUACAGAACCUCCCGCCACCAUGGACACCACAUCCCUCCUGAUCUCACAGCCCCAUGAUGGACAUUCCGGAACGACUCCCGGGUCUCAUGUCAAGAAAGAGACCCAGAGGCCCCUUGUCACAGGGAUGGCAGGUGGCAGAGAGGACACAAAUGAGUCUGCAACCCUCAAUGUCUGAAACUCAAUGGCUGGAAGACGGAUACCCCCAGCCCCUGCCCCACCCCGAGGUCCCGCCUAUGUUACUAGGGGAGGGGAGAAGUCACAGCCAGAAUUCCUGGGGUUUCCCAGAGCCAGCCCUGCUGACUGCGAUGUACAGCGUCCCAGCACGGAGAGGCUAAGAACAGGUACCCUAAGACCCGGACAAGACUGAGGCACAAAUCCAUUCACGCUCAGCACAGCUACCGCACACGGCCACACCCAGAGAGCCACCCAUGGCCUGCCAAGCAGCGCUGCCACCCGCACCUCCCUGGGCUGCCCAGAUGAGGGCGGGUGAACAGCAGGGCCGCCCAGGGCCACGUGUCAGGAUUCAGGCCACCUGCCCAGGCAGCCCAGAGCUCUACCCACCACCCCCACCCUCAACUGCACAACAGGGUCCCUCAGCAGCCCCCUGCGUCACACAGACCCAUGACCCACACACUGAGCCGGGGCUCAUGCCAACAGAAAACUGGGACCCAGCCCAGUCUGCCGGUUUAGUUGCCGAGGUGAUGUGGGCAGCAGGGCAGAGCUCGCGGCUGCAGAGAGAGGCAGAGCUGCGAGACACCCCUGCCGUCCCCAGGACAACAGCUUCCUGGGGAUCAGAGUGCCUGGGACAGCACACCUGCCAAGGGAAGGGCGUCAGCUCCAAAAGCGGCCCUCGGGCGUUUUAGGCGACUGGCCGCCAGGCUUAGGUCAGGAGCUGGGUACGUGCGCAGACAAGGGACGAAGGAACAGUGGCCAGGAAGGCGUCCAAAUCCAUACAGGAAUGUACUUUGUAAGAAAGGUGGGAUUUCACAACUGUGAGCAAAAGACAGGUGCUCUCCACAGGUGGGGCUGAGAAGAGAACUGAGCCAA
Chlorocebus sabaeus (green monkey) is the source of this 2771-nucleotide non-coding RNA. Lineage: Eukaryota; Metazoa; Chordata; Mammalia; Primates; Cercopithecidae. The record is from RefSeq and is a predicted model, not a curated record.